ACGGUAACAGAGAGCAGCUUGCUGCUCUGCUGACGAGUGGCGGACGGGUGAGUAAUGUCUGGGAAACUGCCUGAUGGAGGGGGAUAACUACUGGAAACGGUAGCUAAUACCGCAUAACGUCUUCGGACCAAAGUGGGGGACCUUCGGGCCUCAUGCCAUCAGAUGUGCCCAGAUGGGAUUAGCUAGUAGGUGGGGUAACGGCUCACCUAGGCGACGAUCCCUAGCUGGUCUGAGAGGAUGACCAGCCACACUGGAACUGAGACACGGUCCAGACUCCUACGGGAGGCAGCAGUGGGGAAUAUUGCACAAUGGGCGCAAGCCUGAUGCAGCCAUGCCGCGUGUAUGAAGAAGGCCUUCGGGUUGUAAAGUACUUUCAGCGGGGAGGAAGGCGGUGAGGUUAAUAACCUUAUCGAUUGACGUUACCCGCAGAAGAAGCACCGGCUAACUCCGUGCCAGCAGCCGCGGUAAUACGGAGGGUGCAAGCGUUAAUCGGAAUUACUGGGCGUAAAGCGCACGCAGGCGGUCUGUUAAGUCAGAUGUGAAAUCCCCGGGCUCAACCUGGGAACUGCAUUUGAAACUGGCAGGCUUGAGUCUCGUAGAGGGGGGUAGAAUUCCAGGUGUAGCGGUGAAAUGCGUAGAGAUCUGGAGGAAUACCGGUGGGCGAAGGCGGCCCCCUGGACGAAGACUGACGCUCACGUGCGAAAGCGUGGGGGAGCAAACAGGAUUAGAUACCCUGGUAGUCCACGCCGUAAACGAUGUCGACUUGGAGGUUGUGCCCUUGAGGCGUGGCUUCCGGGAGCUAACGCGUUAAGUCGACCGCCUGGGGAGUACAGCCCGCAAGGUUAAAACUCAAAUGAAAUUGACGGGGCCCGC
RNAcentral lists this ribosomal RNA (873 nucleotides) under Cronobacter malonaticus. RNAcentral's name for it is "bacterial SSU rRNA". It matches the Rfam family "Bacterial small subunit ribosomal RNA", at positions 66 to 924 of the family's 1533-position model. Lineage: Bacteria; Pseudomonadati; Pseudomonadota; Gammaproteobacteria; Enterobacterales; Enterobacteriaceae. The record is from RNAcentral.